Long non-coding RNA from Homo sapiens (human), 3132 nucleotides. RefSeq annotates it as RUNX2 antisense RNA 1. The transcript is spliced from 4 exons. The record is from RefSeq and is marked validated. NCBI's taxonomy places the organism in Eukaryota, Metazoa, Chordata, Mammalia, Primates, Hominidae.
AUUUCCACCAUUUGAUACCAUCUGUUUCUCACACACAUCCAUGAGGGAAGAAUCAUUCCCAUUUAACAGACAAUGUAACUGGGCCUGAAUAUAGCUCAGCGACUUGCCCCAGGCCCACCAGGAAGUGGAUAAAGCCAUGCUCAACCCAGCACUUCUUCUCUCUACCUUCCACCGAUCCUGCCUGCUCAUCUUCCCUCCUUGGUGAAGGCAUGUGUGCUGUGCUCUGCUUAACUAAUUUCCCUCAGAUAUUCGCAUUUCUGUCUUUACAAUUUGGCAUCCCAGUGAGGUUUCCCUUUGUAUAUUUUCCGGUUCCUAUAUUCCCAUUAUUCAGGUAUCAUCACUCAAUAACCAUUUGACAGCAGUAAUGCUUUUCACAUGGAAAGAAUUGGGUUUUUAUUGAUGGCAAAUGUUGUGAUGAACUUUCAUGCCCACUUGGAGCCGGAGCACUUUUUUAUAGAAUGAACCACAAUGAGAAGCGUUUCCAAGAAAUGUCUUUGGAGUGUGGACUGAGAUGUACGUUUAGGAACAGGUCCUGUGGCCAGAGUGGGGAGAGAGGGGGCUUCCCAUUGUCAAAAUCUCAUCAAUCAAAAUGUAUAAUAGCAACAUUAUUAAUAACCCUAUAGUUGCAUUGCACUUGGUGCUCUUCCAAGCACUUCCCUAGAAUCCUAAAAUGAAGGCAGGGCAGAUAUUAUAUCCAUGUUACAGGUUAAACAACAUUGUAACAGGACUGAUAACACCAUGAAUGAGAAGUCAUUUGAUCAAUGGAGAGCCAGUUAUUAAACAUUUACCAACAUGUGCAAGAACGGGUUUCAAGGCCGAGGUGGGCAGAUCACAAGGUCAGGACUUUGAGACCAGCCUGGCCAAUAUGGUGAAACCCCAUUUCUACUAAAAAUACAAAAAAAUUAGCCAGGCGUGGUGAUGCAUGCCUGUAAUCCCAGCUACUCGGUAGGCUGAGGCAGGAGAAUUGCUUGAACCCGGGAGGCGGAGGUUUGCAGUGAGCCAAGAUCGCGCCACUGCACUCCAGCCUGGCAACAGAGCAAGACUCCGUCUCAAACAAAACACAGCACAACAAAACAAAAAAGAACGAGUUUCAUAGUGAGAAACAGCGGAGAAACCAGCUUACCUGGUGGGCCUUGAGUGGCCCCUACAAACUCCAACCUGUUCAAGACUCAUUUGCCACGUUGUACCUUCCAGCCAAGGCAAUCCCCCCAGCCUGAGCUACUUCCCAGACCAGACCACAGAAGCAAGGCCAUGCUCACCGAGGACCCCACUUGUGGACUAGACUUCUGUCCUGCUGUGGCCUCAAAAGCAAUAGCCAGGGCCCCAUGAUGAAGCUGCCAUCAGAAGCACAGGUGUGCCUGGCAAGGACACAGGAGGACCACGGCUCCAUGCCGAUGAGAAUGGCAGCUAAGUCUGAAGCUUUCUAUGAUUUAGAUUCCUGGUUGCGAGAGGGAGCCUAUAGGAAUGGCGAGAAGAGUGAGAACUUUGCAGAGGCAGCAAGGAUUUUCUCUUUGGGUCACCGCGUGUUCUUUGGGGUCAUAUAAAGUACUCUGCUCAAGAACAAAGGCCAGUGUGGCUAUGAUGAAAAUGCAUUGACAGAGGGGCUUCAAUGUCUAUGGAACAGAAACAAGAGCCCUGGACCAAGAGGAGGAAAUGUGGAUUCACCAACAUGUUGAAAAUCAUUCUAACAUCUCCAGGCCUCAGCGUGGUCAUUCACAAAUGGAAUUCAACAAUUUCUAAGGCAACUUUUCUAACAUUUUGGAGAUAAAAAAUUUAAUGUUUAGUCCCUGUAACUAGCUUUGACAAAGAGAACACAGUGGAAGUGAUCCUGCCCACCCCUUUUCCAAGGUAGACCUUAAAAGACCUGUAGCUUCCACUAUUGUGCCUCCUAGAAGCCUGUACCAUGUAAGAAUUCUAACUACCAUGGGAACAUCAUGCUGUGAGGAAGCCCAAGCUAGCCAUUUGGGAGAGAGGAAGGCCACGUAGAGAAGCACCAAGAAACUAGACAUGUUUGUGAAGCCUACUUGAACUUUCCAGCCCAACUCCAGCUGAAUGCAUCCAAGUGAAUGGCCCCAGCUGAUCCCCUGUGGAGCAGAACCACCCUGCUGACUCCUGACUGAAUCCCUGAUCCACAGAAUUGUGAGCAAUAAUAUGACUGUUGUUCUAAAUCACAAAGUUGAGGCAUAAUUUGUUAAUCAGCAAUAGAUAACUGAAACAGAGUAUAAGAGGAUUGGAGGACCAAACUCACAGUGCAGGCUACAUAUACUAUCACUGAGCAAUUGGGUCAGAAUGGCAAGGAGAUCUUCAUGGAGGAGGUGGGAAAUGUUUUGCAGGAAGGGAUGGAGUUGGAUGAGUGAAAGGACAAGGUAUGCAGGAGAAAAUUCUACAAGAGCUAACCACUCCAUAGGCCUCUGGGGACAUGCCCUGAACACUGACAGGACUUCACAAUUAUUUCUAUCACAGCCACCUAACUGCCUCAAUACCGGGGAGUCUGCCUGGGUUUGGCCCAAAGUAGAUUUCACCAAAGUCCUGCUUUAUCUUCACAACUCCUAUGAAUUUUAUAUUGCAUUUCAUAAUUUAGUCAUCUACAUUUUAAUUUUAAAAAUGGUUGAAAUUACUUACCAAUUACAUUGUUUAACUUCUCCCCACCCAUCCCAAUCUCUUCAGUAAAACAGAUGCCCCAUGAAGAAGGGUCACCAUGAGACCUGGGCACUGUGUGCCCCAGAACAUGUGACCUCAAGGGGGUCAGAGACUUGGGUUUUUCCUUUCAGGAUCUAUGCACAGAUCUUUUUUAGUGCCAUAACUGGCCUCUGGGUUCCCCACUCCUGUCUCAGUCCCAACUUUAAGCUACCCUUAGAUUCACAAGGAACCUGACUCAGGAGAGACCACCUCCUGACCCUGCCCAGAGGCAGCUUAAAAACAACCUAGUUCUUCAGUCUCUGGACCAUGCUCCUGGCCUCCUCCCACAGAGCAUUUGGAAAGCAACCCAAGGCAAUGUUCAGUCUUCCCUGAACAUACUCGAAUACCCCUCAAACCUCUUUUUUUCUUAAACAGGCAACUCACAUAUGCAUCUAUAACCUGUAUAGAUACGUUGACACUUGGAAGCAAAAUAGAGGAAAGCUUUCAUUAUCA